This is a long non-coding RNA of Lolium rigidum, 213 nucleotides long. RefSeq lists it as uncharacterized. The record is from RefSeq and is a predicted model, not a curated record. The transcript is spliced from 3 exons. NCBI's taxonomy places the organism in Eukaryota, Viridiplantae, Streptophyta, Magnoliopsida, Poales, Poaceae.
CUAAACUUCGGAGAUGAAUUGCAGCCCGUGGCCUCUUCUACUGCACACCCAAGGGUGACAAGCUCCACUGACUAGCAUCUUAGAUGCCCUUCGGCCACAUCGUCGUGUGAGUAGGCUUCAACCGAAUAGAUCUAGAAGGGGAGCUGGCCAUGGAAUUCGGAAGGACAAAGACUCAAGAACAGGGUAGAUGCCGACAUUUCUAUCUCAAUAUGU